RNAcentral lists this non-coding RNA (29 nucleotides) under Bombyx mori (domestic silkworm). Lineage: Eukaryota; Metazoa; Arthropoda; Insecta; Lepidoptera; Bombycidae. The record is from RNAcentral.
AGCACCGUUAGUGGAUCGGGAGGAUCCGA